This 495-nucleotide ribosomal RNA is filed under the name uncultured bacterium. Its description in RNAcentral is "partial 16S ribosomal RNA". It matches the Rfam family "Bacterial small subunit ribosomal RNA", at positions 28 to 505 of the family's 1533-position model. The record is from RNAcentral.
GAUGAACGCUGGCGGCGUGCCUAAUACAUGCAAGUCGAGCGAACAGACGAGGAGCUUGCUCCUCUGACGUUAGCGGCGGACGGGUGAGUAACACGUGGAUAACCUACCUAUAAGACUGGGAUAACUUCGGGAAACCGGAGCUAAUACCGGAUAAUAUAUUGAACCGCAUGGUUCAAUAGUGAAAGACGGUUUUGCUGUCACUUAUAGAUGGAUCCGCGCCGCAUUAGCUAGUUGGUAAGGUAACGGCUUACCAAGGCGACGAUGCGUAGCCGACCUGAGAGGGUGAUCGGCCACACUGGAACUGAGACACGGUCCAGACUCCUACGGGAGGCAGCAGUAGGGAAUCGUCCGCAAUGGGCGAAAGCCUGACGGAGCAACGCCGCGUGAGUGAUGAAGGUCGUCGGAUCGUAAAACUCUGUUAUUAGGGAAGAACAAAUGUGUAAGUAACUAGGCACGUCUUGACGGUACCUAAUCAGAAAGCCACGGCUAACUACG